AAGGUGUAACCCGAAAAACCAACAAUAAAUAGAGUAGGGG
Aquimarina sp. is the source of this 40-nucleotide non-coding RNA. The record is from Rfam. NCBI's taxonomy places the organism in Bacteria, Pseudomonadati, Bacteroidota, Flavobacteriia, Flavobacteriales, Flavobacteriaceae.